Molecule: ribosomal RNA, 549 nt
Filed under: uncultured Glomeromycotina
Lineage: Eukaryota; Fungi; Glomeromycota
Description: SSU rRNA
Rfam family: Eukaryotic small subunit ribosomal RNA
Source: RNAcentral
UUGGAGGGCAAGUCUGGUGCCAGCAGCCGCGGUAAUUCCAGCUCCAAUAGCGUAUAUUAAAGUUGUUGCAGUUAAAAAGCUCGUAGUUGAAUUUCGGGAUCAAUUUAUCGGUCGUGCCUCUGGUAUGCACUGGUAUUAUUGAUUUCUACCUUCUGACGAACCAUGAUGUCAUUAAUUUGGUGUCAUGGGGAAUCAGGACUGUUACUUUGAAAAAAUUAGAGUGUUUAAAGCAAGCACACGCUUGAAUACAUUAGCAUGGAAUAAUGAAAUAGGACGUUUGACCCUAUUUUGUUGGUUUCUAGGAUCGACGUAAUGAUUAAUAGGGAUAGUUGGGGGCAUUAGUAUUCAGUUGUCAGGGGUGAAAUUCUUGGAUUUAUUGAAGACUAACUACUGCGAAAGCAUUUGCCAAGGAUGUUUUCAUUAAUCAAGAACGAAAGUUAGGGGAUCGAAGACGAUCAGAUACCGUCGUAGUCUUAACCAUAAACUAUGCCGACUAGGGAUCGGAUGAUGUUAAUUUUUUAAUGACUCAUUCGGCGCCUUACGGGAAAC